GACGAACGCUGGCGGCGUGCUUAACACAUGCAAGUCGAACGAAGAGCGAUGGAAGCUUGCUUCUAUCAAUCUUAGUGGCGAACGGGUGAGUAACGCGUAAUCAACCUGCCCUUCAGAGGGGGACAACAGUUGGAAACGACUGCUAAUACCGCAUACGAUCUAACCUCGGCAUCGAGGAUAGAUGAAAGGUGGCCUCUACAUGUAAGCUAUCACUGAAGGAGGGGAAUGCGUCUGAUUAGCUAGUUGGAUGGGUAACGGCCCACCAAGGCGAUGAUCAGUAGCCGGUCUGAGAGGAUGGACGGCCACAUUGGGACUGAGACACGGCCCAGACUCCUACGGGAGGCAGCAGUGGGGAAUCUUCCGCAAUAGACGAAAGUCUGACGGAGCAACGCCGCGUGAGUGAUGACGGCCUUCGGGUUGUAAAGCUCUGUUAAUCGGGACGAAAGGCCUUCUUGCGAAUAGUUAGAAGGAUUGACGGUACCGGAAUAGAAAGCCACGGCUAACUACGUG
Molecule: ribosomal RNA, 510 nt
Filed under: uncultured bacterium
Lineage: Bacteria
Description: partial 16S ribosomal RNA
Rfam family: Bacterial small subunit ribosomal RNA
Source: RNAcentral